RNAcentral lists this ribosomal RNA (565 nucleotides) under uncultured Glomeromycotina. RNAcentral's name for it is "SSU rRNA". It matches the Rfam family "Eukaryotic small subunit ribosomal RNA", at positions 548 to 1114 of the family's 1831-position model. Lineage: Eukaryota; Fungi; Glomeromycota. The record is from RNAcentral.
UUGGAGGGCAAGUCUGGUGCCAGCAGCCGCGGUAAUUCCAGCUCCAAUAGCGUAUAUUAAAGUUGUUGCAGUUAAAAAGCUCGUAGUUGAAUUUCGGGAUCAAUAUGCUGGUCGUGCCAUUGGUACGUACUAGUAUUAUUGGUUUCUUCCAUCUGAUGAAUCAUGAUGUCAUUAAGUUGAUGUCAUGGGGAAUCAGGACCGUUACUUUGAAAAAAUUAGAGUGUUUAAAGCAGGCUCGCGCUUGAAUACAUCAGCAUGGAAUAAUGAAAUAGGACGUUUGAUUCUAUUUUGUUGGUUUCUAGGAUUGACGUAAUGAUUAAUAGGGAUAGUUGGGGGCAUUAGUAUUCAAUUGUCAGAGGUGAAACUCUUGGAUUUAUUGAAGACUAACUACUGCGAAAGCAUUUGCCAAGGAUGUUUUCAUUAAUCAAGAACGAAAGUUAGGGGAUCGAAGACGAUCAGAUACCGUCGUAGUCUUAACCAUAAACUAUGCCGACUAGGGAUCGGAUGAUGUUAAUUUUUUAAUGACUCAUUCGGCGCCUUACGGGAAACCAAAGUGUUUGGGUUC